UCUGUGAGCCUCCCCAUUGUGGCUGGCUCCAUUGCUAUGAGCUCCUUUACUCCCUGUGUCUGUUUACGGCUGAAGUAAAAUUACGGAAGUAUAUCUGUGUAUUUUUCCAGCUUUUGGUUCCAAACUAAGAAAGGGCUGUGCUUCCAAGAGUAUCUACUCUAGGGGAUUUUUCCUGUCUUGACUUUUAAGCAGAGUAUUUUCAAUGAGAAGCACCAGCGUCAGUUUUCACUAAAUAAAAGACAUCGUUAGGAUGAAAAAUGUGCCGCCACCUCUCUCAUUUCUUUGAUUUUGGAGCCUCCUUUGCC
Oreochromis niloticus (Nile tilapia) is the source of this 305-nucleotide long non-coding RNA. RefSeq lists it as uncharacterized. The record is from RefSeq and is a predicted model, not a curated record. The transcript is spliced from 3 exons. Lineage: Eukaryota; Metazoa; Chordata; Actinopteri; Cichliformes; Cichlidae.